This 403-nucleotide ribosomal RNA is filed under the name uncultured bacterium. RNAcentral's name for it is "partial 16S ribosomal RNA". It matches the Rfam family "Bacterial small subunit ribosomal RNA", at positions 30 to 526 of the family's 1533-position model. The record is from RNAcentral.
AUUGAACGCUGGCGGCAGGCUUAACACAUGCAAGUCGAGCGAGCGGCGGGCGGGUGAGUAAGGUAUGGGUACUGCCCGAUAGAGGGGGAUAACUACGGGAAACGGUAGCUAAUACCGCAUAUUAUCGGAUAACCCAUAUGGGAUUAGCUAGUAGGUGUGGUAAUGGCUCACCUAGGCGACGAUCCCUAGCGGGUCUGAGAGGAUGAUCAGCAACACUGGAACGGAGACACGGCCCAGACUCCUACGGAGGCAGCAGUGGGGAAUAGGGCAGAAUGGGCGCAAGGCUGAUGUAGCCAUGCCGCGUAGAGGAAGAAGGCCCUAGGGUUGUAAAGUACUUCCAGUCUGGAGGCGUUACCGUCAGAAGAAGCACCGGCUAACUCCGUGCCAGCAGCCGCGGUAAUAC